Transfer RNA from Camelus ferus (Wild Bactrian camel), 73 nucleotides. It matches the Rfam family "tRNA". Rfam says of the family: Transfer RNA (tRNA) molecules are approximately 80 nucleotides in length. NCBI's taxonomy places the organism in Eukaryota, Metazoa, Chordata, Mammalia, Artiodactyla, Camelidae. The record is from Rfam.
GAGCGUAUAGCUCAAGUGGUACAGGGCAUGUUUAGCAUGCAUGAGGGCCUGGGUUCAAUCCCCAGUAUCUCCU